CCUACGGGUGGCUGCAGUAGGGAAUUUUGCGCAAUGGGCGAAAGCCUGACGCAGCAACGCCGCGUGAUCGAGACGCCCUUCGGGGUGUAAAGACCUGUCAGUCGGGGCGAAACUUGACGGUACCCACAGAGGAAGCACCGGCUAACUCCGUGCCAGCAGCCGCGGUAAUACGGGGGGUGCAAGCGUUGUCCGGAAUCAUUGGGCGUAAAGAGUUCGUAGGCGGCACGUAAAGUCUGGUGUUAAAGGCAGAGGCUCAACUUCGGUACGGCACUGGAUACUUGCGAGCUAGAAUGCGGUAGAGGUAAAGGGAAUUCCUGGUGUAGCGGUGAAAUGCGUAGAUAUAUGGAAGAACACCAGUGGCGAAAGCGGCUCUCUGGGCUGUAACUGACGCUGAGGUUCGAAAGCGUGGGUAGCAAACAGGAUUAGAUACCCUUGUAGUC
Molecule: ribosomal RNA, 440 nt
Filed under: uncultured bacterium
Lineage: Bacteria
Description: partial 16S ribosomal RNA
Rfam family: Bacterial small subunit ribosomal RNA
Source: RNAcentral